AGGAAAUAGAUUUUUUUUUUUGUAAUCAAAAUUGUUCGUAUGGACAAUGUAAGCAUGGAACCUCUGUAGUAUAAAAUCUACCUGAAAUUUUAUGAAGAUCUAAGAUCUAGUAGUAAUACUGAUCUGAUUAUUAUUCCUUUUUCUCUUACAUGAAAUACUUGAAAGGACAGGCUUGAAAUGAUGCUUUUAUACUGAAAAUGAAACUAAGAACAUUUAUUCACAAAGAAACUUGAAGCUGAAACUGAAAUAUUGUCCCUCAUUUCAAUACUCCUGCUUUGCAUGGCCACCGCAAUUGAGAGCUUCCUUAAUGAGUCUACUGAAGUUAUUGUAAGAUGAUCCUCCAAUAUCUGUAGCUGCUUCUGCUUUCCUUUUCCAUUCUAGUGCCUUCUCUCUCAGUUGCUUUCCCUUGUGCCCUUCUAUCAUUUCCUUAACUAUACCUUCAAUUUCAUUCCUAUUUAUAUUGUGAUUGACCUCCAUGCCAAUCCCCCAUUUAGAGCAUGCAUAUCGGCAAUUUGUAUGUUGAUCGGCGAAGAAAGGCCAACAGACUAUUGGCACGCCGUGACUAACAGUUUCCAUCAUAGAAUUCCAUCCGCAAUGCGUUAGGAAAACACCAACUGCAGGAUGUGCAAGAACUUGAUCUUGUGGACACCAACUUGCUAGCAGUCCUCUAUCAUUGAUGUGCUCAAGAAAUUCUUCAGGCAAAAUUGCAGAAUCACCCAUUACUACAUCUUGUCUAAUUAUCCAUAGAAAUGGGCGUUUACUAUUUGCAAGUCCCCAUGCAAGCUCUUUCAAGUGUCUCGCUGUUAUCAUUGCUACGCUACCAUAAUUUACAUAUACAACAGAGUUAUGUUUUCUUUUAUCUAGCCAUUCAAGGCAGUUUGAAUCUUCUUUCCAUAAACUUGAAGCAAUUGACUUGGAUUCACUUUCAGGCAUUUGUCUUUCAAGCAAAGAUAGUGGACCUAUUGUGUAAAUGCGAGGAAACUUACAAGCAAUUAUUGCUUCUAAAACUUCAUGAUCGAACUCGUCGAAGGUGUUGAAGACAAUUGCAGAAGAGUUCAAGCAGUUCUCUGCUUCUGAUCCCAUGAAAUCAAACAUUAUUUCAUCAUUGGUAGUUCUGACAAAAGUUGGCAUAUCCUUUAGACGGAUGUUAGUCAUUCCAGGGAUCCAAUCAAUUGGGUUUUCGCUUAUGCUGUCAUUUAGGAAAUUUUUCACUGAAACAAUGAAAGAACAAAAGUUUCAUUCAUGGCAGUACUUGGGAUGUGAGAGAUCCAAAGAUUGACGGACGCUAUUGUUUAGAAUUAACUCAAGAAAGAUCAAGAAAUUACAUGUACCUGUGUGUGGGACGAUGCCUCUUCGUUUGAGUUCACUGAAGUGCAAAUAACACAUGAAGCUGCAAGCUGAGGCAGUCCAUAAUUGAACCUGGGGUAUGCUUAAUUCUUCUGCAGCCUUUAUACCAAAGCUCAUGACACCAUCUGAAAUUAUGCAAGAAACAGGGGGCACCCCAGAGGAUGAUGAAUUUAACUUGUUUAGUAGCUCUCUAAAUGGAGCCAAACAGUACUUCCUGGUUGAAUCACACAAGGAUGGAACAUCCUGCGUCGCAUCAAGAUGAUCAGAUGGUGGCAUCCCAUCUGUUAUAGUCUCAAAUCGGAAAUCCGGCAGGCCCUUAACGGAGUCUGGUCCUCUAGACUGAAUUAGUCGUCGAUGGUUGAACUCGGUGUUAACAAAGGUUAUGUGGAAGCCUGUUGAGUGCAGAAGCUUGGCUAGUUGCAUCACCGGAGUAACAUGGCCUUGAGAUGGAUAUGGUAUGCAUACAGCAUGGGGUUUACUGCCUCCAGCUGAACCCAUUUUUUAGCUAAGAGAUGACUCUGAAAGCUUUCCAAGCUUUUGUGGCUCCUAUACUAGGAUGUGAUGUGGACCCUCAGGACUGUUGUCAGUCGCAAAGCCAUAAUUUUUUAUAAGUGGGUUAACAAUUUUAUUUUCAUG
This 1983-nucleotide unclassified non-coding RNA is filed under the name Hevea brasiliensis (rubber tree). Lineage: Eukaryota; Viridiplantae; Streptophyta; Magnoliopsida; Malpighiales; Euphorbiaceae. The record is from RNAcentral.